UUCUAUACAAGUGUACAGGCGUUAUUUAUCUAUUCCUUUUACCUCUCCAUCUUCAGCGAACUUAAAAUCCACCCAAGUUCUCUGCAAGCUUUCUUAGAAUGUUUCCCGUUUUGGUUCAGGUAGUAUCCAAGAAAGAGCCGUAAAGCAAGUAAGAACCGAAGUGGAGGAGAGUAUUUGGUUUACAAGCCACGAGGGAUUCAAGUUUACCCAUUAAUAAAUCCAAAUUGUAACCUAGAUCACGUAGGCAACGUUAUUUAAAUUUAGAAAUAAAUAAAUGAAUGAAGUUCAAUAAUUAUCACAAAACAGAACUUUGCUCAACUAUGACAUACCGCAUUUAAAAUAAAUAUGUUUUGUCACAACAGCAAGUACGAUUUUUGUAUCAACCUAAGGACAUACCAACUGGCCUAAGUAAAAGUAAAUUUUCUCAGUUUGGUUUUUAAUUAACAUAGAAUCAGACAUCCCAGUCUGCAAAUGGCGGCCAUACAAAACUAUACGAGUCUAUACACCAUCAACGAACUUGGAAGAUUCUUUAGUAUCAUCAACUAUUAUCGGAGAUGCCUACCCCGUUCGUCACAUAUCCAGGCACCUAAAGUGUUGCAGGUGCAGUUCUGGUGGCUCAUCCAUAUCCUAUCGAGAACCGAUCGGAAAUUACCUUCAAUUUAUCAUCAGCAAUCACCAUGCCAGUGUCCGUCAGUCUACAGUAAAUCUAGAAAGCAUGGGCCGCUGAUUCUAAGCUUUUAAACCUGCUGGAAGAAACCACUUCGCUUGAGUGGUAGAUCAACGGUGCAGAAUCUGUUCAAGGAGCUGUCGCAGUGAACACAUCCAUACGACUGCUUAUAACCCACAAUCAAAUGAAUGAUCCGAAGGAAGGCAAAUAUCGUUUAAGGCUGCGAUGCUGUCAAUCAAAACUCCUGGUGCUUUGGGAAUGCAUGGAUCUUAAGGAGGAUCUUGAAUCAUUGGCUUUGGAGAUGAUAUACGGAAUAACGAUACGCUUGCCAAACGAAUUUUUGCAAAGACAUCGAUACAAACUUGGAUCCUGUCGUAUUCCUAGGGGAUUUUCGAAAAAUACGUCCGAUUUAAACGGCGCACUCAGCAAGCAAAAAAUGUUUUAUCUAAAGGGAAUACAGAAUUGAUCCCACUCCAUAGGACUCACCAUA
Drosophila ananassae is the source of this 1157-nucleotide long non-coding RNA. RefSeq lists it as uncharacterized. The record is from RefSeq and is a predicted model, not a curated record. The transcript has 2 exons. NCBI's taxonomy places the organism in Eukaryota, Metazoa, Arthropoda, Insecta, Diptera, Drosophilidae.